GAUGAACGCUGGCGGCGUGCCUAAUACAUGCAAGUCGAGCGAACAGACGAGGAGCUUGCUCCUUCGACGUUAGCGGCGGACGGGUGAGUAACACGUAGGUAACCUACCUAUAAGACUGGGAUAACUUCGGGAAACCGGAGCUAAUACCGGAUAAUAUAUCGAACCGCAUGGUUCGAUAGUGAAAGAUGGCUUUGCUAUCACUUAUAGAUGGAUCUGCGCCGUAUUAGCUAGUUGGUAAGGUAACGGCUUACCAAGGCAACGAUACGUAGCCGACCUGAGAGGGUGAUCGGCCACACUGGAACUGAGACACGGUCCAGACUCCUACGGGAGGCAGCAGUAGGGAAUCUUCCGCAAUGGGCGAAAGCCUGACGGAGCAACGCCGCGUGAGUGAUGAAGGUCUUCGGAUCGUAAAACUCUGUUAUUAGGGAAGAACAAACGUGUAAGUAACUGUGCACGUCUUGACGGUACCUAAUCAGAAAGCCACGGCUAACUACGUG
RNAcentral lists this ribosomal RNA (497 nucleotides) under uncultured bacterium. RNAcentral's name for it is "partial 16S ribosomal RNA". It matches the Rfam family "Bacterial small subunit ribosomal RNA", at positions 28 to 507 of the family's 1533-position model. The record is from RNAcentral.